RNAcentral lists this long non-coding RNA (551 nucleotides) under Homo sapiens (human). RNAcentral describes it as "HSALNT0252214". Lineage: Eukaryota; Metazoa; Chordata; Mammalia; Primates; Hominidae. The record is from RNAcentral.
CUUGACCUUGAAGGAAGCAGAAUUUUCUUUUUGAGUUGAGUGACUGUAGCCCCCAAAGUUCCUAGGACAGUUUUGUGCAAGAAGUCAUGAGGGCCUGGACAAAACCUCACAGCCUCUGGCUGGAAUUCUGCAUUUAGGGACGGAGGCCUGAUUCUCCCACUGGGAAGAAAGGUGCUGAAGCUCUACCCUAGCCACGUUGGGAAGGCAGCGUCUGCCCUCCUUAACAAGACGUUUCCUACUAACUGCAACAUGCAGGGCUUCUCUCCUUGGCGCUGUUUCCCAUCCACCAGCUCAAGAUCAUUCCAGUGUAUCUGAUGAGAUCUCAGACUUUCAGAAAAGCGAUUCUUGGAAUGCCAUCUGGCUAACCAUUAGAUAUGUCCAGACGGACACUUUGCGGAUUGUCUUCAGGAAGGAAGAAAAAUAGAAGGGAGUCUCAGAACUAUUUAUACAAUUAUCCUGCAGGCUUUGGCCUGGAAAACAAGAAACUAGGGUGUGUUCUUUCACCUGCAGCAACAUCGAAGUCACUACAAAUGGCCAUAGGACAGUUAUAC